Molecule: non-coding RNA, 28 nt
Filed under: Rattus norvegicus (Norway rat)
Lineage: Eukaryota; Metazoa; Chordata; Mammalia; Rodentia; Muridae
Source: RNAcentral
UCCUUUUGGCUUUUCUGCUCUAUGGGCC